Molecule: ribosomal RNA, 473 nt
Filed under: Neisseria sp. oral taxon 014
Lineage: Bacteria; Pseudomonadati; Pseudomonadota; Betaproteobacteria; Neisseriales; Neisseriaceae
Description: bacterial SSU rRNA
Rfam family: Bacterial small subunit ribosomal RNA
Source: RNAcentral
AUUGAACGCUGGCGGCAUGCUUUACACAUGCAAGUCGGACGGCAGCGGGGUAGUGCUUGCACUACUGCCGGCGAGUGGCGAACGGGUGAGUAACAUAUCGGAACGUACCGAGCAGUGGGGGAUAACUAAUCGAAAGAUUAGCUAAUACCGCAUAUAUUCUGAGGAAGAAAGCAGGGGACCUUUGGGCCUUGCGCUGUUUGAGCGGCCGAUAUCUGAUUAGCUGGUUGGUGGGGUAAAGGCCUACCAAGGCGACGAUCAGUAGCGGGUCUGAGAGGAUGAUCCGCCACACUGGGACUGAGACACGGCCCAGACUCCUACGGGAGGCAGCAGUGGGGAAUUUUGGACAAUGGGGGCAACCCUGAUCCAGCCAUGCCGCGUGUCUGAAGAAGGCCUUCGGGUUGUAAAGGACUUUUGUCCGGGAAGAAAAGCGCGAUGUUAAUACCAAUGCGUGCUGACGGACCGGAAGAAUAAGC